ACUCAAAUGAAUAGACGGGGGCCCGCACAAGCAGUGGAGUAUGUGGUUUAAUUCGAAGCAACGCGAAGAACCUUACCAGGGCUUGACAUCCCUCUGACCGGCUUAGAGAUAAGCCUUUUCUUCGGAACAGAGGUGACAGGUGGUGCAUGGUUGUCGUCAGCUCGUGUCGUGAGAUGUUGGGUUAAGUCCCGCAACGAGCGCAACCCCUGUUGUUAGUUGCCAUCAUUAAGUUGGGCACUCUAACGAGACUGCCGGUGACAAAUCGGAGGAAGGUGGGGACGACGUCAAAUCAUCAUGCCCCUUAUGUCCUGGGCUACACACGUACUACAAUGGCGAAUACAGAGGGAAGCGAAAUCGUAAGGUAGAGCAAAUCCCAAAAAAUCGCCUCAGUUCAGAUUGCAGGCUGCAACUCGCCUGCAUGAAGUCGGAAUUGCUAGUAAUGGCAGGUCAGCAUACUGCCGUGAAUACGUUCCCGGGCCUUGCACACACCGCCCGU
This 496-nucleotide ribosomal RNA is filed under the name uncultured bacterium. RNAcentral's name for it is "bacterial SSU rRNA". It matches the Rfam family "Bacterial small subunit ribosomal RNA", at positions 899 to 1397 of the family's 1533-position model. The record is from RNAcentral.